GCGAUAUUAGUUUAAUGGUAGAACUUCUGCCUUCCAAGCAGACGGUGAGGGUUCGACUCCCUCAUUUCGCU
RNAcentral lists this transfer RNA (71 nucleotides) under Paenibacillus sp. PDC88. Its description in RNAcentral is "tRNA_Gly_TCC". It matches the Rfam family "tRNA". From Rfam's summary of the family: Transfer RNA (tRNA) molecules are approximately 80 nucleotides in length. Their secondary structure includes four short double-helical elements and three loops (D, anti-codon, and T loops). Further hydrogen bonds mediate the characteristic L-shaped molecular structure. tRNAs have two regions of fundamental functional importance: the anti-codon, which is responsible for specific mRNA codon recognition, and the 3' end, to which the tRNAs corresponding amino acid is attached (by aminoacyl-tRNA synthetases). tRNAs cope with the degeneracy of the genetic code in two manners: having more than one tRNA (with a specific anti-codon) for a particular amino acid; and 'wobble' base-pairing, i.e. permitting non-standard base-pairing at the 3rd anti-codon position. The record is from RNAcentral. Lineage: Bacteria; Bacillati; Bacillota; Bacilli; Caryophanales; Paenibacillaceae.